Molecule: ribosomal RNA, 253 nt
Filed under: uncultured bacterium
Lineage: Bacteria
Description: partial 16S ribosomal RNA
Rfam family: Bacterial small subunit ribosomal RNA
Source: RNAcentral
UACGAAGGGGGCUAGCGUUGUUCGGAAUUACUGGGCGUAAAGCGCACGUAGGCGGGUAGUUAAGUCAGUGGUGAAAUCCCAAGGCUCAACCUUGGAACUGCCUCUGAUACUGGCUACCUUGAGUCCGGGAGAGGUGAGUGGAAUUCCGAGUGUAGAGGUGAAAUUCGUAGAUAUUCGGAGGAACACCAGUGGCGAAGGCGGCUCACUGGCCCGGUACUGACGCUGAGGUGCGAAAGCGUGGGGAGCAAACAGG